This 82-nucleotide small nucleolar RNA is filed under the name Sphenodon punctatus (tuatara). RNAcentral describes it as "Small nucleolar RNA SNORD19B (ENSSPUG00000003603.1)". It matches the Rfam family "Small nucleolar RNA SNORD19B". The record is from Rfam by way of RNAcentral. Lineage: Eukaryota; Metazoa; Chordata; Lepidosauria; Sphenodontia; Sphenodontidae.
GCUGGGAUGAAACAUGAUGAAAACAAAGAACUCUUGACAAACGGCUGAAGAUUGCAAGAUCCAACUCUGAUUUCUCCCAGUU